This 879-nucleotide ribosomal RNA is filed under the name Triticum aestivum (bread wheat). RNAcentral's name for it is "partial small subunit ribosomal RNA". Lineage: Eukaryota; Viridiplantae; Streptophyta; Magnoliopsida; Poales; Poaceae. The record is from RNAcentral.
AUGGAAGUGGUUGAGAGUAUUGGGGCCAGCGGAGGCCUCAUACUAUUCUGGCGAAAUCCUAUUUUGCUGGAACUGAUAGAUAAGACCAAAAACUUCUUAGAUGUGAAAGCUGGAAGUUCACCGGAAGAAAGCUGGAGGUUUACUGGGUUCUAUGGUGAACCCAAAUGGGAGGAUAAACACCUCUCAUGGGACUAUUUGAGGAAUCUGCAUACACAAUCAUCUCUGCCUUGGGUGGUUGUAGGCGACUUCAAUGAGAUAUUAUACUCCCACGAAAAGGAAGGGGGCGCCCCUCGCCCACUUCGGAUGAUGGAGAAUUUCCGGAAUGCACUAGUUGACUGUGAGCUUGAUGAUAUUGGCUUUUUUGGGGAACAGUUCACCUGGAGAUGGAGACGUAUACGAGAACGGUUGGAUCGUGCCGUGUGUAAUGCAGAAUUCCAGGGUCUCUUUCCGCAUUCAACUAUUACAAAUGCGCCUGACCUUAAAUAUGAUCACAGACCUGUUGUGCUUGAUACCGAAGGAGAUGCGACGGUAUACAUACAGGGAGAUAGGCAACGACAAUUUGAAGCUCGUUGGCUACAAGAGAAUGGAGUGAUGGAUAUAGUAGCGGAAGCAUGGACACGAACACCAGCCUCGGCAUCUUUGUCCGAGAGAACGGCCGGAGUACAUAGUGAACUCCAUGAAUGGGACCGAUUGGUUCUGAAGUCUCCACAGCGCAGACUGAAGAACUUAAAGGAGGAGCUGCAGGCCCUGCGGUCGGGGCCACUCACUAAUGAGUCGGCAGAUCGGCAGAGGCAACUUUUGAUUGAGAUAGAAGAAGCUAUGGAAAAAGAAGAGAUUUACAGGCUUCAGAGCCAGGGCGAACUGGUUAAAAUAUGGUGA